AACACAUGCAAGUCGAACGAGUAACGGAUUUUAGUUUACUAAAAUUGUCAGCUAAGUGGCGCACGGGUGAGUAAUAUAUAGUUAACCUGCCCCAAAGAAGAGAAUAAUUGAUGGAAACGUCUUGUAACUCUCUAUAUGCCUUUAUCACAUAAGUGAGCAAGGGAAACAUUUAUGGCUUUGGGAUGGGACUGUACGGUAUCAGAUAGUUGGUGAGGUAAUGGCUCACCAAGUCAAUGACGCCUAACUGGUUUGAGAGGAUGAUCAGUCACACUGGAACUGAGACACGGUCCAGACUCCUACGGGAGGCAGCAGUGGGGAAUAUUGCACAAUGGAGGAAACUCUGAUGCAGCAACGCCGCGUGGAGGAUGACACAUUUCGGUGCGUAAACUCCUUUUAUAUGAGAAGAUAAUGACGGUAUCAUAUGAAUAAGCACCGGCUAACUCCGUGCCAGCAGCCGCGGUAAUACGGGGGGUGCAAGCGUUACUCGGAAUCACUGGGCGUAAAGAGCAUGUAGGCU
RNAcentral lists this ribosomal RNA (517 nucleotides) under uncultured bacterium. RNAcentral describes it as "bacterial SSU rRNA". It matches the Rfam family "Bacterial small subunit ribosomal RNA", at positions 50 to 577 of the family's 1533-position model. The record is from RNAcentral.